RNAcentral lists this ribosomal RNA (854 nucleotides) under uncultured Enterobacteriaceae bacterium. RNAcentral describes it as "bacterial SSU rRNA". The stretch from base 1 to 764 matches the Rfam family "Bacterial small subunit ribosomal RNA". Lineage: Bacteria; Pseudomonadati; Pseudomonadota; Gammaproteobacteria; Enterobacterales; Enterobacteriaceae. The record is from RNAcentral.
AUUGAACGCUGGCGGCAGGCCUAACACAUGCAAGUCGAGCGGCAGCGGAAAGUAGCUUGCUACUUUGCCGGCGAGCGGCGGACGGGUGAGUAAUGUCUGGGAAACUGCCUGAUGGAGGGGGAUAACUACUGGAAACGGUAGCUAAUACCGCAUGACCUCGAAAGAGCAAAGUGGGGGAUCUUCGGACCUCACGCCAUCGGAUGUGCCCAGAUGGGAUUAGCUAGUAGGUGAGGUAAUGGCUCACCUAGGCGACGAUCCCUAGCUGGUCUGAGAGGAUGACCAGCCACACUGGAACUGAGACACGGUCCAGACUCCUACGGGAGGCAGCAGUGGGGAAUAUUGCACAAUGGGCGCAAGCCUGAUGCAGCCAUGCCGCGUGUGUGAAGAAGGCCUUAGGGUUGUAAAGCACUUUCAGCGAGGAGGAAGGCAUCAUACUUAAUACGUGUGGUGAUUGACGUUACUCGCAGAAGAAGCACCGGCUAACUCCGUGCCAGCAGCCGCGGUAAUACGGAGGGUGCAAGCGUUAAUCGGAAUUACUGGGCGUAAAGCGCACGCAGCGGUUUGUUAAGUCAGAUGUGAAAUCCCCGCGCUUAACGUGGGAACUGCAUUUGAAACUGGCAAGCUGAGUCUUGUAGAGGGGGGUAGAAUUCCAGGUGUAGCGGUGAAAUGCGUAGAGAUCUGGAGGAAACCGUGGCGCAAGCGGCCCCUGGAGAGACGCGCGCCUGUGUGUGAAGGAGUGGGCGCGAGAGGUUAAUACCGAGUAUCGACGGCAAAUGAGAGUGGGGAGGAGCGCGUGGGUCGCGGGACCCCAGGGGGGCCGGGGCCCGGUGUGUCUCUCUCCCCCCUUAUUCACC